RNAcentral lists this ribosomal RNA (275 nucleotides) under uncultured bacterium. RNAcentral describes it as "partial 16S ribosomal RNA". It matches the Rfam family "Bacterial small subunit ribosomal RNA", at positions 338 to 630 of the family's 1533-position model. The record is from RNAcentral.
CCUACGGGUGGCUGCAGUAACGAAUAUUCCACAAUGCGCGAAAGCGUGAUGGAGCAAUGCCGCGUGCGGGAUGAAGCGCCUUUGGCGUGUAAACCGCUGUCAGAAGAUAGAAACAUUGAUCAUCUUCAGAGGAAGGGGCGACUAACUCUGUGCCAGCAGUCGCGGUAAUACAGAGGCCCCGAGCGUUAGUCGGAAUCACUGGGCUUAAAGGGUGCGUAGGCGGACUGGUAAGUGUUCUGUGAAAGCCCCCGGCUCAACCGGGGAACCGCAGGGCA